This 253-nucleotide ribosomal RNA is filed under the name uncultured bacterium. RNAcentral describes it as "partial 16S ribosomal RNA". It matches the Rfam family "Bacterial small subunit ribosomal RNA", at positions 524 to 776 of the family's 1533-position model. The record is from RNAcentral.
UACAGAGGGUGCGAGCGUUAUUCGGAAUUAUUGGGCGUACAGGGUGCGUAGACGGUAAGUUAAGUCAACUGCUAAAUUCCCCGGCCUAACUGGGGACCAGCAGUAGAUACUGACAUGCUAGAGGGUGGAAGAGAGAAGUGGAAUUCUCGGAGUAGCGGUAAAAUGCGUAGAUCUCGAGAGGAACACCGAUGGCGAAGGCAGCUUCUUGGUCCAUACCUGACGUUGAGGCACGAAAGCGUGGGGAGCAAACAGG